Long non-coding RNA from Zingiber officinale, 855 nucleotides. RefSeq lists it as uncharacterized. The transcript is spliced from 4 exons. The record is from RefSeq and is a predicted model, not a curated record. Lineage: Eukaryota; Viridiplantae; Streptophyta; Magnoliopsida; Zingiberales; Zingiberaceae.
GAGAGUGUAAACACGUCAAAAUUCAAAAACGCCACGACUCCUUCCUCUUUCAAAAAGCCCUAGCUGUGAACAACAACACCUUCUCGUAGCCGCACCUCCCUCUCGCCUACGAACGCCUUCACCGCGAGAAGAUCUCCGUCGCCCUGAGCUUUCUCAGCCCACAGCACCUGCCCUCUCGCCUGCGAGCGCUGCAUCGGGUCUCCCUCCCUUGCCGCGCCUUCCUCGCUGUCGCCUACGUCUCAACUGACGAGAGCCCUAGCUUUUGUCUCCCCGCGCCUGGGUUCCUCGCCGUCACGAAGUCUCACAGGUGCCCUUCCAUCCCUAAUCAGUUGCCGGUGGAAACGAGGAUGUAGAAGAGCAUUAUGAAAGUAUAUCGAGCAUGCCAAGUGUAGAAUGUCAACGGAUGAUCAAUCAACCUACAAAUUAUAGCUGUGUUGAAGGUUUGAGUAUGGCCGAAACUCAAUUUCCACCACUUUUGUCAACACAACUGUCUCAGGUUCACUCUGAUAAUGAUUAUUUUCAGACAAGUAAUAGGGAAGGAUGGUGCUUCAAUGGUGUGGACGUUACUACAAUGGAAUGCACAUCAACUAAAGAACACCACAAAGAGUGAUUGAUGUCAAUAUAGGCAUCGUCGGCAUCAAGUUACAAUGGAAUGCAAACAAAUAUUUUGUGCUAAAUAUUUUGUGGAACUUUUGUGGUUACCAUAUUUUUGUGAACAAAUAGCUUCUGUGUUGUAUUCUGAUCAUGUAAUGGUAAUCAAUCGAAUUGUGAACAAAUAGCUUAUGUGGUCAUGUAUAUUUUGAUCAUGUAAUUUUGAUCUCUCACUGAUAUUACUUGAUUAUCAUGUAUAUUUUA